This 506-nucleotide ribosomal RNA is filed under the name uncultured bacterium. Its description in RNAcentral is "partial 16S ribosomal RNA". It matches the Rfam family "Bacterial small subunit ribosomal RNA", at positions 28 to 523 of the family's 1533-position model. The record is from RNAcentral.
GAUGAACGCUAGCUACAGGCUUAACACAUGCAAGUCGAGGGGUAACGAGAGGAAAGCUUGCUUUCCUUGUCGACGACCGGCGCACGGGUGAGUAACGCGUAUCCAACCUGCCCCCAACUAGGGAAUAACCUUGCGAAAGUAAGACUAAUACCCUAUAAUUUCCUCAGAUGUCAUCUGACGAGGAAUAAAGAUUUAUCGGUUGUGGAUGGGGAUGCGUCUGAUUAGCUUGUUGGCGGGGUAACGGCCCACCAAAGCAACGAUCAGUAGGGGUUCUGAGAGGAAGAUCCCCCACAUUGGAACUGAGACACGGACCAAACUCCUACGGGAGGCAGCAGUGAGGAAUAUUGGUCAAUGGGCGGAAGCCUGAACCAGCCAAGUAGCGUGCAGGAUGACGGCCCUAUGGGUUGUAAACUGCUUUUAUACAGGAAUAAAGUUAGCCACGUGUGGUUAUUUGUAGGUACUGUAUGAAUAAGGACCGGCUAAUUCCGUGCCAGCAGCCGCCGCGG